AUUGAACGCUGGCGGCAGGCCUAACACAUGCAAGUCGAACGGUAACAGGAAACAGCUUGCUGUUUCGCUGACGAGUGGCGGACGGGUGAGUAAUGUCUGGGAAACUGCCUGAUGGAGGGGGAUAACUACUGGAAACGGUAGCUAAUACCGCAUAACGUCGCAAGACCAAAGAGGGGGACCUUCGGGCCUCUUGCCAUCGGAUGUGCCCAGAUGGGAUUAGCUAGUAGGUGGGGUAACGGCUCACCUAGGCGACGAUCCCUAGCUGGUCUGAGAGGAUGACCAGCCACACUGGAACUGAGACACGGUCCAGACUCCUACGGGAGGCAGAAGUGGGGAAUAUUGCACAAUGGGCGCAAGCCUGAUGCAGCCAUGCCGCGUGUAUGAAGAAGGCCUUCGGGU
RNAcentral lists this ribosomal RNA (399 nucleotides) under uncultured Escherichia sp. Its description in RNAcentral is "bacterial SSU rRNA". It matches the Rfam family "Bacterial small subunit ribosomal RNA", at positions 30 to 423 of the family's 1533-position model. The record is from RNAcentral. Lineage: Bacteria; Pseudomonadati; Pseudomonadota; Gammaproteobacteria; Enterobacterales; Enterobacteriaceae.